RNAcentral lists this ribosomal RNA (405 nucleotides) under uncultured bacterium. Its description in RNAcentral is "bacterial SSU rRNA". It matches the Rfam family "Bacterial small subunit ribosomal RNA", at positions 354 to 776 of the family's 1533-position model. The record is from RNAcentral.
GUGGGGAAUAUUGCACAAUGGGGGAAACCCUGAUGCAGCAACGCCGCGUGAGUGAAGAAGUAUUUCGGUAUGUAAAGCUCUAUCAGCAGGGAAGAUAAUGACGGUACCUGACUAAGAAGCCCCGGCUAACUACGUGCCAGCAGCCGCGGUAAUACGUAGGGGGCAAGCGUUAUCCGGAUUUACUGGGUGUAAAGGGAGCGCAGGCGGCAGGGCAAGUCAGAUGUGAAAGCCCGGGGCUCAACCCCGGGACUGCAUUUGAAACUGUCCAGCUGGAGUACAGGAGAGGCAGGCGGAAUUCCUAGUGUAGCGGUGAAAUGCGUAGAUAUUAGGAGGAACACCAGUGGCGAAGGCGGCCUGCUGGACUGUAACUGACGCUGAGGCUCGAAAGCGUGGGGAGCAAACAGG